UGAACCAGCAACUUCGAAGUUAAUGCAUCAUCGACUAUGUCGAAUAAAGUUCUAGGUAGAGUUAUGAUAAUGACAUUUUCUAUCUAUGUGUCUUGACCAAAUCACGUGCCAGCAGUCGCGGUAAUACGUGGAAGACUAGUGUUAUUCAUCUUUAAUAGGUUUAAAGGGUACUUAGACGGUAAAUUAAGCCCAGCAAAGGGUACUAAUUAUACUAGAGUUUGAUAAGAGGAGGGUGUGUACUAGUGGUGUAGAGAUGAAAUUCAGUUUAUGACAGGCAACGGCGAAAGCAACCUUUAGAUAAAAACUGACGUUGAAGGACGAAGGA
RNAcentral lists this ribosomal RNA (325 nucleotides) under Circinaria fruticulosa. RNAcentral describes it as "SSU rRNA". It matches the Rfam family "Bacterial small subunit ribosomal RNA", at positions 384 to 760 of the family's 1533-position model. Lineage: Eukaryota; Fungi; Ascomycota; Lecanoromycetes; Pertusariales; Megasporaceae. The record is from RNAcentral.